GAUCCUGGCUCAGGACGAACGCUGGCGGCGUGCUUAACACAUGCAAGUCGAACGGAGCACCCUUGAAUGAGACUUCGGUCAAAGGAAAGGAAUGCUUAGUGGCGGACUGGUGAGUAACGCGUGAGGAACCUGCCUUUCAGAGGGGGACAACAGCUGGAAACGGCUGCUAAUACCGCAUGACGCAUUCGGAUGGCAUCAUCUGAAUGCCAAAGAUUUAUCGCUGAAAGAUGG
RNAcentral lists this ribosomal RNA (231 nucleotides) under uncultured bacterium. RNAcentral describes it as "partial 16S ribosomal RNA". It matches the Rfam family "Bacterial small subunit ribosomal RNA", at positions 15 to 228 of the family's 1533-position model. The record is from RNAcentral.